RNAcentral lists this ribosomal RNA (974 nucleotides) under metagenome. RNAcentral describes it as "bacterial LSU rRNA". It matches the Rfam family "Bacterial large subunit ribosomal RNA", at positions 1950 to 2925 of the family's 2925-position model. The record is from RNAcentral.
CCUAAGGUAGCGAAAUUCCUUGUCAGGUAAGUUCUGACCCGCACGAAAGGUGUAACGAUUUGGGCGCUGUCUCGGCAGCAGACUCGGUGAAAUCUUAGUACCUGUGAAAAUGCAGGUUACCCGCAACUAGACGGAAAGACCCCAUGGAGCUUUACUGCAGCCUGAUAUUGAAUUCUGGUCAUACAUGUACAGGAUAGGUGGGAGACAAAGAGACGUGCACGCCAGUGUACGAGGAGUCGACGUUGGGAUACCACUCUUGUGUGACCGGGGUUCUAACCUGGUAUCGAAAACAGGUACGGGGAGAGUGUCAGGUGGGCAGUUUGACUGGGGCGGUCGCCUCCCAAAGAGUAACGGAGGCGCCCAAAGGUACGCUCAGAUUGGAUGGAAACCAAUCGACGAGUGCAAUUGCAGAAGCGUGCUUGACUGUGAGACUUACAAGUCGAACAGGGACGAAAGUCGGGAAUAGUGAUCCGGCGGUGCCGAAUGGAAGGGCCGUCGCUCAACGGAUAAAAGCUACCCUGGGGAUAACAGGCUGAUCUCGCCCAAGAGUUCACAUCGACGGCGAGGUUUGGCACCUCGAUGUCGGCUCAUCGCAUCCUGGAGCUGGAUUCGGUUCCAAGGGUUGGGCUGUCCGCCCAUUAAAGCGGUACGCGAGCUGGGUUCAGAACGUCGUGAGACAGUUCGGUCCCUAUCUGUUGUGGGCGAAGGAGAUCUGCGGAGAGCUGUCCUCAGUACGAGAGGACCGGGAUGGACCUACCGCUGGUGCACCGGUUGUUCCGCCAGGGGCAUAGCCGGGUAGCUAAGUAGGGAAAGGAUAAGCGCUGAAAGCAUCUAAGCACGAAGCCUACUCCAAGAUGAGAUCUCCCAUUCGCAAGAAGUAAGACCCCUUAAAGACGAUAAGGUAGAUAGGCCAGAGAUGGAAGUGCAGUGAUGUACGGAGUUGACUGGUACUAAUCGGUCGAGGACUUAAUCAG